AUACGGAGGGUGCGAGCGUUGUUCGGAAUCACUGGGCGUAAAGGGCGCGCAGGCGGUUUGUCAAGUCAGAUGUGAAAGGCCACGGCUCAGCCGUGGAGGUGCAUCUGAAACUGGCAGACUUGAGUACCGGAGGGGAAAGUGGAAUUCCCGGUGUAGAGGUGAAAUUCGUAGAUAUCGGGAGGAACACCGGAGGCGAAGGCGACUUUCUGGACGGAUACUGACGCUGAGGCGCGAAAGCGUGGGGAGCAAACAGGAUUAGAAACCCCUGUAGUCC
This 274-nucleotide ribosomal RNA is filed under the name uncultured bacterium. Its description in RNAcentral is "partial 16S ribosomal RNA". It matches the Rfam family "Bacterial small subunit ribosomal RNA", at positions 523 to 796 of the family's 1533-position model. The record is from RNAcentral.